GAGGCUAUAGCUCAAGGCAUAGAGCGCAUGCUUAGCAUGCAUAAGGUCCUGGGUUCAAUCCCCAGUACUUCCU
This 73-nucleotide transfer RNA is filed under the name Camelus bactrianus (Bactrian camel). It matches the Rfam family "tRNA". From Rfam's summary of the family: Transfer RNA (tRNA) molecules are approximately 80 nucleotides in length. Their secondary structure includes four short double-helical elements and three loops (D, anti-codon, and T loops). The record is from Rfam by way of RNAcentral. RNAcentral also lists the same sequence under 2 other names. Lineage: Eukaryota; Metazoa; Chordata; Mammalia; Artiodactyla; Camelidae.